This 253-nucleotide ribosomal RNA is filed under the name uncultured prokaryote. Its description in RNAcentral is "partial 16S ribosomal RNA". It matches the Rfam family "Bacterial small subunit ribosomal RNA", at positions 525 to 777 of the family's 1533-position model. The record is from RNAcentral.
ACGUAGGGGGCAAGCGUUGUCCGGAAUCAUUGGGCGUAAAGCGCGUGUAGGCGGCUCGAUAAGUCUGCUGUGAAAGUCCAAGGCUCAACCUUGGGAUGCCGGUGGAUACUGUCGAGCUCGAGUCCGGAAGAGGAGUGUGGAAUUCCUGGUGUAGCGGUGAAAUGCGCAGAUAUCAGGAGGAACACCAAUGGCGAAGGCAGCACUCUGGGACGUGACUGACGCUGAGACGCGAAAGCGUGGGGAGCAAACAGGA